GAUGAACGCUGGCGGCGUGCCUAAUACAUGCAAGUCGAGCGAACAGAUAAGGAGCUUGCUCCUUUGACGUUAGCGGCGGACGGGUGAGUAACACGUGGGUAACCUACCUAUAAGACUGGGAUAACUUCGGGAAACCAGAGCUAAUACCGGAUAACAUUUGGAACCGCAUGGUUCUAAAGUGAAAGAUGGUUUUGCUAUCACUUAUAGAUGGACCCGCGCCGUAUUAGCUAGUUGGUAAGGUAACGGCUUACCAAGGCGACGAUACGUAGCCGACCUGAGAGGGUGAUCGGCCACACUGGAACUGAGACACGGUCCAGACUCCUACGGGAGGCAGCAGUAGGGAAUCUUCCGCAAUGGGCGAAAGCCUGACGGAGCAACGCCGCGUGAGUGAUGAAGGGUUUCGGCUCGUAAAACUCUGUUAUUAGGGAAGAACAAACGUGUAAGUAACUGUGCACGUCUUGACGGUACCUAAUCAGAAAGCCACGGCUAACUACGUG
Molecule: ribosomal RNA, 497 nt
Filed under: uncultured bacterium
Lineage: Bacteria
Description: partial 16S ribosomal RNA
Rfam family: Bacterial small subunit ribosomal RNA
Source: RNAcentral